AUGGCCAUAGUUGGAGAGAGUGGAAGUGGCAAGUCAACUGUUGUCAGCCUAGUUGAAAGAUUCUACGAUCCACAGGCUGGAGAAGUUUUGAUAGAUGGAGUCAACAUCAAGAAUCUGAAUCUUGAUUGGAUAAGAGGGAAGAUCGGCCUUGUUAGCCAAGAACCAUUGCUGUUUAUGACCUCCAUUAAAGAUAACAUAAUCUAUGGUAAAGAAGAGGCAACACUUGAAGAGAUCAAGAGAGCAGCCGAGCUUGCAAAUGCAGCAAACUUCAUCGACAAGUUACCAAAUGUACGUAAAUAA
Molecule: ribosomal RNA, 300 nt
Filed under: Triticum aestivum (bread wheat)
Lineage: Eukaryota; Viridiplantae; Streptophyta; Magnoliopsida; Poales; Poaceae
Description: partial small subunit ribosomal RNA
Source: RNAcentral